AUGGCGUCGCCCUCGCCCUCGCCGCCGCCGUCCAAUUCGGGCCUCCGUACACGCCUCACCAAGGACCGACCGCCCGCCCCGUCCCCGUCCCCGCUCGCAGCCGUCUCCAGCCACGCCGACCGCGACCGCAUCAUCGGAGUGUUCCGGAGCGCGCUGUGCAGGGCCGAAUCCCCGGAAGCUUUCGCCCUCCAGGCGCUCCAGGAAGCAAUCAAGCCUCAGAAGCAAACGGUGCUGGUUCUAGAGGAGAACCAGUACUUGGAGAAUGCUCUCCGGAGGCUGCUGCAGGAACUUGUCUCAUCUGCAGUUCAAUCUGGUAAAGGAGUCAUGCAAUGUGGAAACUCAGUGGAUAGCGGAGAAAGUAGUUGCAUGAUAACACGCCUUCUUGAUAUGAUGCUUUACCUUUGUGAAAGAGGACAUGUUGAGGCUGGUAUGGUAUUCCAGCUCUUAGAAGAUCUGACGGACAUGUCAACUAUCAAAGAUUGCAAACAUGUCUUUGGGUAUAUCGAGAGCAAACAGGAUGUCUUGGGGAAGCAAGAAUUAUUUCGGCGUGGCAAGUUGGUUAUGCUGAGGACAUGCAACCAAUUACUCCAAAGACUUUCAAAGUCAAACGAUGUGGUCUUCCGUGGACGAAUUAUCAUGUUUCUGGCACAUUUCUUCCCGUUGUCAGAGCGUUCAGCUCUCAACAUCAAGGGAGUUUUCAACAUAUCAAAUGAAACUAAGUAUGAGAAAGAUCCCACCGCCGGAAUUUCUGUUGACUUCAACUUCUACCAGACCUUGUGGAGUCUUCAGGAGCAUUUCAGGAACCCAGCUUCGACUACUACAAACCCAACAAAAUGGCAAAAGUUUGCUUCUAAUUUAAUGGUCGUGUUAAGCACAUUUGAAUCUCAGACUCUCUGUAGUGCUGAUGGAAAGCAUAACAAUACUGAGCAGGAGGGGGAUGCUGCUUCCAAUAUUAAGUACCUUACUAGCAGUAAAUUGAUGGCUUUGGAGUUGAAGGACGCAAGUUUUCGAUGCCACAUCCUUGUCCAAUGCCUUAUAUUUUUUGAUUGUCUGAAGGCGCCUGGAAAGAGUGACAAGGAAGGUCCAUCCGAGAGCAUGAAAGAGGAAAUCAAAUCCUGUGAAGAGCGUGUUAAGAACCUCCUGGAGAUGAUUCCACAGAAAGGGAGGGAAUUCCUACGAAGCAUUGAGCAUAUUGUUGAGCGGGAGAGAAACUGGGUUUGGUGGAAGAGAGAUGGAUGUCCAGCAUUUGAAAAACAAACUUUUGAAAAGAAGUCGGGUCAAGCUGGAGUCAGGAAACGUAACCCAAGGUGGAGGUUGGGAAACAAAGAACUUGCCCAACUGUGGAAAUGGGCAGAACUAAACCCUACUGCUUUGACUGAUCCUGACCGAGUCCGCACACCAUCAGUUAGAGAAUAUUGGAAGCCACUUGCGGAAGAUAUGGACACAUCUGCCGGAAUUGAGGAGGAGUAUCACCACAAAAGUAAUCGUGUUUAUUGCUGGAAAGGUUUACGGUUUCAAGCCAGACAAGAUUUGGAAGGAUUUUCUCGAUUUUGUGAAGACAGGAUCGAGGGGGUUGUACCUUGA
This 1584-nucleotide ribosomal RNA is filed under the name Triticum aestivum (bread wheat). RNAcentral describes it as "partial small subunit ribosomal RNA". Lineage: Eukaryota; Viridiplantae; Streptophyta; Magnoliopsida; Poales; Poaceae. The record is from RNAcentral.